UACACAAAGUAUGGUAAUAAUGUUUUCGCCACUUUUUCAACAGUCCGACAGACCAGCCGGCCAGACAGGCCUCAGACAACUCAGGAUGAUGCUGGGAUUGCAGGUUCUGCUUCUGUAAGCCUACCUCCUCUAAGGCGCCCAUCACAGGGCUCGGGGCACUUACCCAGGAGGCCAAGUAAGACACGGCGUCUUGGCACGGAAUCUGCGGCUCCAUCUUCCCCACCCAGGCGGCGCAUUUCUGCAGUGUCACCCCAGCCACCACUGGCACUAUUGGCGAGUCCACAGAGUGAUGAGCCCCGAUCACCUCAGUUAUCUGAGCCAAGCUUGAUGGCCGACGUGGACCAGCAGGGACAAGACCAACAGGCAACCUUCACACUGCAACUAACACCUGUU
Molecule: long non-coding RNA, 393 nt
Organism: Pseudophryne corroboree (corroboree frog)
Lineage: Eukaryota; Metazoa; Chordata; Amphibia; Anura; Myobatrachidae
Exons: 3
Source: RefSeq, a predicted model, not a curated record